RNAcentral lists this ribosomal RNA (484 nucleotides) under uncultured bacterium. RNAcentral's name for it is "bacterial SSU rRNA". It matches the Rfam family "Bacterial small subunit ribosomal RNA", at positions 9 to 526 of the family's 1533-position model. The record is from RNAcentral.
GAGUUUGAUCCUGGCUCAGGAUAAACGCUGGCGGCGUGCUUCAGGCAACAAGUCGAACGGACCUUCGGGUCAGUGGCGGACGGGUGAGUAACACGUGAGCAACCUGCCCAGAAGUGGGGAAUAACCCACCGAAAGGUGAGCUAAUACCGCAUGUGAUGAGCCUUCCCUGGAGGGCUCAUUAAAGGCUUCGGCCGCUUUUGGAGGGGCUUGCGCUCGAUUAGCUAGUUGGUGGGGUAACGGCCUACCAAGGCGACGAUCGAUAGCUGGUCUGAGAGGAUGGUCAGCCACACGGGGACUGAGAUACGGCCCCGACUCCUACGGGAGGCAGCAGCUAGGAAUCUUGGGAAUGGGCGAAAGCCUGACCCAGCAACGCCGCGUGGGCGAUGAAGGCCUUAGGGUCGUAAAGCCCUUUUGUGGGAGACGAUGAUGACGGUACCCCACGAAUAAGCCACGGCUAACUACGUGCCAGCAGCCGCGGUAAUAC